This 712-nucleotide transfer RNA is filed under the name Salmo salar (Atlantic salmon). Its description in RNAcentral is "lncRNA (ENSSSAG00000107658.1)". The stretch from base 119 to 191 matches the Rfam family "tRNA". The record is from RNAcentral. Lineage: Eukaryota; Metazoa; Chordata; Actinopteri; Salmoniformes; Salmonidae.
GUACUGUACUUUCAACAAAGAAUUGUUAUUUUCAUAAAUUCUGUAUUUUGGAAAUUUGAACACGUGCCAUGAAUAUCUGUAAAAUUCGGUUUACUUCUUGCAGGAAAAUCAAGCAGCAGUUUCUGUAGUGUAGUGGUUAUCGCGUUCGCUUUACACGCGAAAGGUCCUCGGUUCGAAACCGGGCGGAAACAGUGCUCUUUGACACGUGCAGUAGGUACUGUACUUUCAACAAAGAAGUGUUAUUUUCAUGAAAUCUGUAUUUUGGAAAUUCGAAUACGUGCCCUGAAUAUCUGUAAAAUUCGGUUUACUCCUCGCAGCUAAAUGUAGCAGCAGUUUCUGUAGUUUAGUGGUUAUCACGUUCGCUUUACACGUGAAAGGUCCUCAGUUUGAAACCGGGAGGAAACAGUGCUCUUAGACAUGUGCAGUAGGUACUGUACUAUUAACAGAGAAUAGUUAUUUUCAUAAAUGCCUAAUUUUGGAAAUUUGAACACGUGCCAUGAAUAUCUGUAAAAUUCGGUUUACUCCUUGCAGAUAAUUGUUGAAGAAGUUUCUGUAGUGUAGUGGUUAUCAUGUUCGCUUAACACGCGAAGGGUCCUCGGUUCGAAACCGGGCGGAAACAGAGCUCUUUGACACGUGCAGUAGGUACUGUACUUUCAACAAAGAAUUGUUAUUUUCAUAAAUUCUGUAUUUUGGAAAUUUGAACACGUGCCAU